GUCGCCGCGGCCAGCAGAGGAGGCGACGCGCUUUCGUAAACAUUAUCCCCUAUUUUCAAGAGUGAAAAAAAAGUCCUUGAAUUGGAUUUUCAAAGCGUUUCCAUGACUGUUGAAGGCACUGUUUUACCUGGUGGAGGCUGGUCUCUGCAGGGAAGAUCUCUUGCCAGCUAGAAGAUUUCCCAUCCAACCACUGCAGCAGUGCAGAUGCAGCAGAUUCAGCAAGAGGCAAUGAGAGUGGAAACAGGCUGCCACAGCUUUCAAUGAGUGCCACAAGAAUCCUUGCAUUCUAUAAGUUAAAAAUAUGUAUAUUCCAUUAGCAUUAUUUCCCUUCACUAACUGACAAGAUUAGUGGCAGGACACAAUGAGCACUGGGUGAAGAUAAACAUCAAUACCUAUGGAAGAAAAGAAUGCAAUGUCUCAUUGAAUAACUAAGUCAACAACUGGUCCAACGCCUUGUGUACUCUCUCCUGCAGUCCAGGAGAGUGCCAUCUCAAGAGAGUCUUUGUCACCACCUGCACAACACCCUGUUGGACAGAAGCUAUAUUGAAUGCCUGGCCAGUGAGAUGCUUUUCAGCUAACCUAAAAAGAUACAUUUGCUUUGCUGCAUAAUAAAAAAUUCUAAGAUAUCCACAAGCACUCUUAAAUUUGUCUAACUGAACCGAAACUGCUUUAUCAAUAUUUUCUUGAACACUACCUGAAAUAAAAAUAUCUCUGAAGCAUUCUACCUUCAUAAAUUUUCUUACAGCACAUUUUCUCUUUAGACCAAAUUUAUAAAUAUUUAUAUUUUCUGUCUAUAUACUGUGUGAUUAGCAUGCAAUAACAAUGUAUUUCAAAGACUUCGUAUAGUUGGAAAUUGAUCAGAAAAAAAGAUAUGAUUUUCUUGAAAGUGAACUGAGUUAUAGCAAUUGCCUUGUGGUGGAGAGAAAGGUCAAUGAGCUUUAGCCAGGAACACAGAGGACAGGAUGAGGUAGAGCAGCCGUCAUCAACCACCACCACCACCGCCACCUUCUGGCCAUCAAACUUGUAGAGGGGACCCUGCAGCUCCCUGGCUGUCAGUUCUACCUUGAGUUCCUCCAUCCAUGACCCCUUGUGCGUGUGCAGCCACGUUCCUGUGCCUAGGUACCUGAUGGAGGAAGCCACGGGCAGCCAAGUCCCUCUUCCAGGCUUCCUCCAGUCCCUUGCCCGACUCUGGGCUUAGUGCAGCCAGAUAGGUAAGGCAGGUGGCAGCCAGCAGACACUCCCCAGUAACCUCCUGAAGCAUUG
Molecule: long non-coding RNA, 1263 nt
Organism: Eriocheir sinensis (Chinese mitten crab)
Lineage: Eukaryota; Metazoa; Arthropoda; Malacostraca; Decapoda; Varunidae
Exons: 5
Source: RefSeq, a predicted model, not a curated record